CAAUAGCGUAUACUAAUGUUGUUGCAGUUAAAAAGCUCGUAGUUGAACUUCUGGUAGGAGUGUCCCGGCCUUUUUGUUUUUACAAAUUGUAUGCUGUGUGACAUCUCUGGCCAUCCUUCUUCUUUGUUUAAAGAAGAUCUUUCACUGUAAAAAAAUUAGGGUGUUCAAAGCAAAAGUUUCUUUGGAAUAUAUUAGUAUGGGAUGAUAAGAUAGGCUCUAGAUGCUAUUUUGUUGGUUUGCACAUUUAGAGAAUGAUUAACAGGGACAGUUGGGGGUAUUCGUAUUUACAUGUCAGAGGUGAAAUUCUUGGAUUUUGGAAAGACGAACUACUGCGAAAGCAUUUAUCAAGGAUGUUUUCAUUAA
This 363-nucleotide ribosomal RNA is filed under the name uncultured eukaryote. RNAcentral describes it as "partial 18S ribosomal RNA". It matches the Rfam family "Eukaryotic small subunit ribosomal RNA", at positions 592 to 976 of the family's 1831-position model. The record is from RNAcentral.